RNAcentral lists this ribosomal RNA (253 nucleotides) under uncultured Pelagibius sp. RNAcentral describes it as "partial 16S ribosomal RNA". It matches the Rfam family "Bacterial small subunit ribosomal RNA", at positions 524 to 776 of the family's 1533-position model. The record is from RNAcentral. Lineage: Bacteria; Pseudomonadati; Pseudomonadota; Alphaproteobacteria; Rhodospirillales; Rhodovibrionaceae.
UACAGGGGGUGCUAGCGUUGUUCGGAAUUACUGGGCGUAAAGGGCGCGUAGGUUGUCUCGCAAGUCAGAAGUGAAAUCCCGGAGCUUAACUCCGGAAUUGCUCCUGAUACUGCGGGGCUAGAGUGUAUUAGAGGAUGGCGGAAUUCCUAGUGUAGAGGUGAAAUUCGUAGAUAUUAGGAAGAACACCGGUGGCGAAGGCGGCCAUCUGGGAUACAACUGACACUGAGGCGCGAAAGCGUGGGGAUCAAACAGG